RNAcentral lists this non-coding RNA (31 nucleotides) under Homo sapiens (human). The record is from RNAcentral. Lineage: Eukaryota; Metazoa; Chordata; Mammalia; Primates; Hominidae.
GGAAGUUCUGAACAUCACAGCCUUAGGUGGU